CAGCGGACUGCUCGAGCUGC
This 20-nucleotide small RNA is filed under the name Arabidopsis thaliana (thale cress). Its description in RNAcentral is "Ath_wt_16988". The record is from RNAcentral. Lineage: Eukaryota; Viridiplantae; Streptophyta; Magnoliopsida; Brassicales; Brassicaceae.